AACGAACGCUGGCGGCAUGCCUAACACAUGCAAGUCGAACGCCCCGUUCGGGUCUCGGCGCGCAGGUGAGCAUCGCGCGUGGACAUAUCCCUUGGGUUUGAACAAAUCCCCGAGACUGGAGUUCUUAUCCCAGAAGCUCUAACGGGGCCAAAGAUUUAUCGCCGUUGGAUGGGCCCGCGUUGGAUUAGCUAGUUGGUAGGGUAAACGCCUACCAAGGCGACGCUCCAUAGCUGGUCUGAGAGGAUGAUCAGCCACACUGGGACUGAGACACGGCCCAGACUCCUACGGGAGGCAGCAGUGGGGAAUAUUGGACAAUGGGCGAAAGCCUGAUCCAGCCAUGCCGCGUGAGUGAUGAAGGCCUUAGGGUUGUAAAGCUCUUUUGCCCGGGAAGAUAAUGACAGUACCGGGAGAAUAAGCCCCGGCUAACUCCGUG
Molecule: ribosomal RNA, 433 nt
Filed under: uncultured bacterium
Lineage: Bacteria
Description: partial 16S ribosomal RNA
Rfam family: Bacterial small subunit ribosomal RNA
Source: RNAcentral